This 601-nucleotide ribosomal RNA is filed under the name uncultured bacterium. RNAcentral describes it as "bacterial SSU rRNA". It matches the Rfam family "Bacterial small subunit ribosomal RNA", at positions 741 to 1341 of the family's 1533-position model. The record is from RNAcentral.
UGACGCUGAGGCGCGAAAGUGUGGGGAGCAAACAGGAUUAGAUACCCUGGUAGUCCACACUGUAAACGAUGAAUGCUAGGUGUAGGAGGUAUCGACCCCUUCUGUGCCGCAGUCAACACAAUAAGCAUUCCGCCUGGGGAGUACGGCCGCAAGGUUGAAACUCAAAGGAAUUGACGGGGGCCCGCACAAGCAGCGGAGCAUGUGGUUUAAUUCGACGCAACGCGAAGAACCUUACCAGGUCUUGACAUCCAGUAAAAACCUGAGAGAUCAGGUGUGUCUUCGGACAUACUGAGACAGGUGGUGCAUGGUUGUCGUCAGCUCGUGUCGUGAGAUGUUGGGUUAAGUCCCGCAACGAGCGCAACCCUUGUGUUCAGUUGCUAACAGGUGAAGCUGAGAACUCUGAACAGACUGCCGGGGACAACUCGGAGGAAGGUGGGGACGACGUCAAAUCAUCAUGCCCCUUAUGACCUGGGCUACACACGUGCUACAAUGGCCACCACAGAGAGGAGCAAGCCCGCAAGGGGGAGCAGAUCUCAAAAAAGUGGUCCCAGUUCGGAUUGUGGGCUGCAACCCGCCCACAUGAAGUCGGAGUUGCUAGUAA